Molecule: long non-coding RNA, 865 nt
Organism: Bufo bufo (common toad)
Lineage: Eukaryota; Metazoa; Chordata; Amphibia; Anura; Bufonidae
Exons: 3
Source: RefSeq, a predicted model, not a curated record
UUCCCGCUAAGUCUUUGUAGGUAGUGAGCGAGCAGUGAGGUCACUGGACACUGUUCCCGCUAAGUCUUUGUAGGUAGUGAGCGAGCAGUGAGGUCACUGGACACUGUUCCCGCUAAGUCUUUGUAGGUAGUGAGCGAGCAGUGAGGUCCCUAGACAUUGUUCCCGCUAAGUCUUUGUAGGUAGUGAGCGAGCAGUGAGGUCCCUAGACAUUGUUCCCGCUAAGUCUUUGUAGGUAGAGAGCAGAGCAGUGAGGUCACUGGACACUGUUCCCGCUAAGUCUUUGUAGGUAGUCGGCGAGCAGUGAGGUCACUGGACACUGUUCCCGCUAAGUCUUUGUAGGUAGUGAGCGAGCAGUGAGGUCACUGGACACUGUUCCCGCUAAGUCUUUGUAGGUAGUGAACAGACAGUGAGGUCACUGGACACUGUUCCCGCUAAGUCUUUGUAGGUAGUCGGCGAGCAGUGAGGUCACUGGACACUGUUCCCGCUAAGUCUUUGUAGGUAGUGAGCGAGCAGUGAGGUCACUGGACACUGUUCCCGCUAAGUCUUUGUAGGUAGUGAGCGAGCAGUGAGGUCCCUGGACAUUGUUCCCGCUAAGUCUUUGUAGGUAGUGAGCGAGCAGUGAGGUCCCUGGACACUGUUCCCGCUAAGUCUUUGUAGGUAGUGAGCGAGCAGUGAGGUCCCUGGACAUUGUUCCCGCUAAGUCUUUGUAGGUAGUGAGCGAGCAGUGAGGUCACUGGACACUGUUCCCGCUAAGUCUUUGUAGGUAGUGAGCGAGCAGUGAGGUCACUGGACACUGUUCCCGCUAAGUCUUUGUAGGUAGUGAGCGAGCAGUGAGGUCACUGGACACUGUUCCCGCUAAGUCUUU